UACAGAGGGUGCGAGCGUUGUUCGGAAUUACUGGGCGUAAAGCGCGUGUAGGCUGCUCCGCAAGUCGGGUGUGAAAGCCCUGGGCUCAACCUAGGAAGUGCACUCGAAACUUCGGAGCUGGAGUCCUGGAGAGGAAGGCGGAAUUCUCGGUGUAGCGGUGAAAUGCGUAGAGAUCGGAAAGAACACCAACGGCGAAAGCACUCUGCUGGGCCGACACUGACACUGAGAGACGAAAGCUAGGGGAGCGAAUGGG
Molecule: ribosomal RNA, 253 nt
Filed under: uncultured bacterium
Lineage: Bacteria
Description: partial 16S ribosomal RNA
Rfam family: Bacterial small subunit ribosomal RNA
Source: RNAcentral